RNAcentral lists this ribosomal RNA (490 nucleotides) under uncultured bacterium. RNAcentral's name for it is "partial 16S ribosomal RNA". It matches the Rfam family "Bacterial small subunit ribosomal RNA", at positions 30 to 507 of the family's 1533-position model. The record is from RNAcentral.
AUUGAACGCUGGCGGCAGGCCUAACACAUGCAAGUCGAACGGUAACAGGAAGCAGCUUGCUGCUUCGCUGACGAGUGGCGGACGGGUGAGUAAUGUCUGGGAAGCUGCCUGAUGGAGGGGGAUAACUACUGGAAACGGUAGCUAAUACCGCAUAAUGUCGCAAGACCAAAGAGGGGGACCUUCGGGCCUCUUGCCAUCGGAUGUGCCCAGAUGGGAUUAGCUAGUUGGUGGGGUAACGGCUCACCAAGGCGACGAUCCCUAGCUGGUCUGAGAGGAUGACCAGCCACACUGGGACUGAGACACGGUCCAGACUCCUACGGGAGGCAGCAGUGGGGAAUAUUGCACAAUGGGCGCAAGCCUGAUGCAGCCAUGCCGCGUGUAUGAAGAAGGCCUUCGGGUUGUAAAGUACUUUCAGCGGGGAGGAAGGGAGUAAAGUUAAUACCUGUGCUCAUUGACGUUACCCGCAGAAGAAGCACCGGCUAACUCCGUG